GCCGCUGCUGCCGCUCCUGCUCUGACUGCGCCCGCUGCGAGACCGGGGCCUCGCCGGGGCUCGCUGCUGCUUGAGCCGCUCAUCCCACAACUGCCGCAGCACAGGAGAUCCUGAGUGGGAAUGGAUACACAAGGACCACCAAGUCGAACCCUUAUGUGAAUGGCUCCUCUGGCGAUUGAACCCACACCUAGGCACUCUCAGCACCCUGCUCCAGCCAAGCCAAUCUCAGCUCCUGGCAAUGUCCUGCCUGGGAUAGGAACACCAAGUGCCAGCAAGGCCAUUCCUAUUCAAAUACAGCUCCUUCUUUUAUGCUAAUGCUGCUUUCCACACCAGCCCCUGCAAUGGCCACAGGGCAGAGCUCCAUGGCCAGCACCUGAUCAUGCAACAACACAGGUGAGCAGUUGUGUGACAGCACUGAACUCUUCCCCUAACCCUGAUUUCCUGCCCUUUCCAGGAUUUACCCAACAGCUGUAAAGGUGCUCGUUCCAUGGCCCUUUCCAGGGAGAAAUGAGCAAGGCAAGUCCUGAAGGUUCACUUGGUCCACGGCCAAAGCUCUUCUGGAGAGUGUCAGGGCUGCUCCUGCCUGCAGAGGGGCCUUUCCCACAGGUGCCCUGGGGAUGCCAGGGAGGUGCCUUUGCCCACAGUGCCUUUCUCCUGCCCCUCUCCAGCCCGAGGCCUCUUCUCCCUUCCCUGCCAGCUGCUGCCAAAGAAGGAGGACACAUUCCCCACUGAGAAGAACACAACCUCACAGCUGUUAAGGCCUGACAGUUCCCUGCAGGGAGAGCUCAGCACAUGUGCCCAGAGGCAAUCCCAGCAUCUGAAAGAAAGAAAGAAGCAGCAAAAGGUGAUUGCUUCUCUUUCAAAGUUAUUUCAAGUGCUCACACCCAAACCCACCUUUGCUCUUGAUUCUGGCCAGGUGCAUGGUGAGCAGUAGGCACAGGUCAUGUCAUCCAUGCUGGUGUGAGUGAUGCUUUCUGGGGGAAAGCAGCUGAUCUCCAAAGUUCCCUUCCUGCCCCGUGCCUGAUCUGCACAGGAGAAAACCUCUUCCAGGAAGGGAUUGUGCUCCCUCUAAUCCCAUUUGCCCAGUCUGUGCCAUGGGGAUAUUGCCAGCCUGGGGCAGCAGAGGCAUACGCAGCUCUCAGCACUCUCUGCUCCAAGCACAGCUCUGGGCUCCUUUGCAGACUGCCUCUGCUGUGGGGUUUUCUCCAGGAGAAGCCAAGGAAUUGCUCAUGGAAGGGUGGAGAUUAAGUUAUCCCAAAGGGAAGCAAAGAGUUAAGUACUCCAGGAAGAGCCCUUGGCAUCUGCUGGGCUGAGGUGGGAAGGGGACAUUCAUUCCCUGCAGAGCCAAUACACAACAACCUCCAACCCAAAGCACAGACUGGCAGGUGGGGUCUGACAGCACCACUCUGACAAACCUCCUUGUCAUUCUUCCCUGCAGUGACUUUUGCAAGCAAACUCUGAAGCUGACAAGCCCAGAAGCUCCAUCCAUCCACUCUGGAAGGAAAGGAUACUCCCAGGGAUGAGGCACAUUCCCAGCAAACUCUCCCAACACAGCCUGGAGGCAGCGCUGGAGCUCGGCUGUGGGGCUGGGAAGGGCUGCCAGGAGCACGCAGCCCCCAGGUGGGGUGGCAGCGGCAGCAGCAAAUUCCCACAGGCUGAUGGCACAACAGAGAGACAAAGGCCAGCAGUGCCCAUGGGAGGUGCAGGGUUAAUUCUGCUCCCUGCCCUGCCCCAUCCCCGCAGGAAAUCUCCAAGGGGGAGAGAAACUCUCAGGGUGCCCAAAAUGCAGCAUCUGUCACCCUGAUCCCGCUUCAACUCAGCGUGGGGGGCCAAACUCCCCCCACAGGUAAACACUGAGCUGACCUGGUCAGUCUCAAACACAGCCCCAGUUCUCACCUCCAGCCUGCUCCUGGGGCUGCUGCCACAUUCCUGACAAGGAGCCCCUGUGGACAGGGCUCUCUCUGUGUCUCAGGUGCUGGGCACUGCAGGGACCAGGGCAGCCCCCUCUGGGGACAAUUGGGGAUUCAUCCCACACCACAGGCAGGACCAGGGGCCCUCCAGUACAGGCUGGUGGGGCCAGAGCCCAUUGGGUUUGGCUGCUCAAAUACCAAAGCUUUUGGCAAAGAUGGGACAAGUUAAGUGGGUUUUCCUGUCCUGAGAGAGAGAAGAAAUUGUUGAAAUUAAGCAUGGAAAUUAAGUCCACUGUGGAAGUCAAAGGCUCCUGGCUUUCCCACUCCUGUUCUGAUUGCUCACUAGAGGGUUUUAUCCAUAAAAAAAUGAGAGGUGGCACCAAAUAAAAGAGCUCUUUUUCAA
This is a long non-coding RNA of Corvus hawaiiensis (hawaiian crow), 2313 nucleotides long. RefSeq lists it as uncharacterized. Lineage: Eukaryota; Metazoa; Chordata; Aves; Passeriformes; Corvidae. The transcript is spliced from 4 exons. The record is from RefSeq and is a predicted model, not a curated record.